This 301-nucleotide ribosomal RNA is filed under the name uncultured bacterium. RNAcentral describes it as "partial 16S ribosomal RNA". It matches the Rfam family "Bacterial small subunit ribosomal RNA", at positions 509 to 807 of the family's 1533-position model. The record is from RNAcentral.
CAGCAGCCGCGGUAAUACGUAGGUGGCAAGCGUUGUCCGGAGUUAUUGGGCGUAAAGGGCUCGCAGGCGGUUUCUUAAGUCUGAUGUGAAAGCCCCCGGCUCAACCGGGGAGGGUCAUUGGAAACUGGGAAACUUGAGUGCAGAAGAGGAGAGUGGAAUUCCACGUGUAGCGGUGAAAUGCGUAGAGAUGUGGAGGAACACCAGUGGCGAAGGCGACUCUCUGGUCUGUAACUGACGCUGAGGAGCGAAAGCGUGGGGAGCGAACAGGAUUAGAUACCCGCGUAGUCCCUGUCUCUUAUAC